RNAcentral lists this ribosomal RNA (228 nucleotides) under Candidatus Levyibacteriota bacterium. Its description in RNAcentral is "partial 16S ribosomal RNA". It matches the Rfam family "Bacterial small subunit ribosomal RNA", at positions 1161 to 1387 of the family's 1533-position model. Lineage: Bacteria; Candidatus Levyibacteriota. The record is from RNAcentral.
ACGGGGAGGAAGGAGGGGAAGACGUCAAGUCAGCACGGCCCUUAUGUCCUGGGCUACACACACACUACAAUGGCGAAAAACAAUGGGCUGCAAGCCGGCAACGGCAAGCUAAUCCCUGAAAUUUCGUCUCAGUUCAGAUUGUGGGCUGAAACCCGCCCGCAUGAAGUUGGAAUAGGUAGUAAUCGCGGAUCAGCAUGCCGCGGUGAAUACGUUCUCGGGUCUUGUACA